UACGUAGGUGGCAAGCGUUGUCCGGAAUUAUUGGGCGUAAAGCGCGCGCAGGCGGUCCCUUAAGUCUGAUGUGAAAGCCCACGGCUCAACCCCGAGCGGUCAUUGGAAACUGGGGGACUUGAGUGCAGAAGAGGAGAGUGGAAUUCCACGUGUAGCGGUGAAAUGCGUAGAUAUGUGGAGGAACACCAGUGGCGAAGGCGACUUUCUGGUCUGUAACUGACGCUGAGGCGCGAAAGCGUGGGGAGCAAACAGG
RNAcentral lists this unclassified non-coding RNA (253 nucleotides) under uncultured Caryophanales bacterium. RNAcentral describes it as "uncultured Bacillales bacterium contains 16S-23S intergenic spacer region". It matches the Rfam family "Bacterial small subunit ribosomal RNA", at positions 524 to 776 of the family's 1533-position model. Lineage: Bacteria; Bacillati; Bacillota; Bacilli; Caryophanales. The record is from RNAcentral.